CACAGAGAUAAGGGUCCCUGACGAACGAACUGGGCCAGAUUCCCUUCCUUCCUUCCUUUAUCCACAGCAGGGGAAGCCUUGCUGGCUGCCAAUGUUGAGAAUGGAACAGAAUGGUAGGGCCUUGUCACUCUCCAGAGAGGAAUUCCUCCUCCUGUGCAGCCAAGGAAUGCAGCAGGCUCUGCAGAGUCCUCUCAUUCCAGAUGUCCCCUGUCCUUACAGGAUGGCAUUCCCUCCAAUGUCAUAUCAACCUGAUAACCUGAGACUGUGACCUUGGAAGUAUAAGCAGUCGUACUUAAGCAUAGUUCAAA
This is a long non-coding RNA of Mus musculus (house mouse), 308 nucleotides long. RefSeq annotates it as predicted gene, 35808. The transcript is spliced from 2 exons. Lineage: Eukaryota; Metazoa; Chordata; Mammalia; Rodentia; Muridae. The record is from RefSeq and is a predicted model, not a curated record.